RNAcentral lists this unclassified non-coding RNA (389 nucleotides) under fungal sp. RNAcentral's name for it is "partial internal transcribed spacer region". The stretch from base 1 to 46 matches the Rfam family "Eukaryotic small subunit ribosomal RNA", at positions 1786 to 1831 of the family's 1831-position model. Lineage: Eukaryota; Fungi. The record is from RNAcentral.
AAGUCGUAACAAGGUUUCCGUAGGUGAACCUGCGGAAGGAUCAUUAACACGUAUCCAACGUAAAAAACCCCCCUGUGAACAUUCAAACCUGCUCUCGUAGCCCAGUGCGAUCCAGCAAUCCCGGUAAAUCAUUGUCGAACAGUAUUGAUUCGGGACUUCUGACAAAUGAGAAGUUACAGUUACGAUUGAGCGGAGAUAGCUGCAUGGCAUCCCGAAGCAGUCAGUGUCUGAAAGUGUCAUUGAUUGUCUAAGCCAGAGGUCGCUCACCGACCGGCAGACAUGCAACCGGGUCCCCACGCCCCUUUACAACCCCAUUACCUCUGUGAGUCGCGGGAAACUAGCGGCUAAAAAACCUCGAACAACUGUUAACAAUGGAUAUCUUGGUUCUC